This 1376-nucleotide ribosomal RNA is filed under the name uncultured bacterium. RNAcentral describes it as "partial 16S ribosomal RNA". It matches the Rfam family "Bacterial small subunit ribosomal RNA". The record is from RNAcentral.
GAAUUCGCCCUUAGAGUUUGAUUUUGGCUCAGGAUGAACGUUGGCGGUGUGCCUAAUACAUGCAAGUCGAACGGUGACGAUUUUGUAGCAAUACGAAUGAAAUCAUAGUGGCGAACGGGUGAGUAACGCGUUGGUGAUCUGCCUCGAAGUGUGGAAUAACUUCCCGAAAGGGUAGCUAAUACCGCAUAGUCUCUCAAGGUUUAGAAAAUUGAGAGUAAAGGAUUUAUUCGCUUCGAGAGGAGCCUGCGUCCCAUCAGCUAGUUGGUAGGGUAAUAGCCUACCAAGGCAAUGACGGGUAGGGGACCUGAGAGGGUGGCCCCCCACAAUGGAACUGAAACACGGUCCAUACACCUACGGGUGGCAGCAGUAGGGAAUAUUAGAAAUGGGCGAAAGCCUGAUCUAGCAACACCGCGUGUGCGAUGAAGGCCUUCGGGCUGUAAAGCACUUUUUGGAGGGAAUAGGAAGGAAGGUACCUCCAGAAUAAGUCCCGGCUAACUACGUGCCAGCAGCCGCGGUAAUACGUAGGUGGCAAGCGUUAUCCGGAAUUAUUGGGCGUAAAGGGAGCGCAGGCGGUUUAUUAAGUCUGAUGUUAAAACACGGAGCUCAACUUCGUGAUGCAUUAGAAACUGGUAGACUAGAGUGCAGGAGAGGUAAGUGGAAUUCCAUGUGUAGCGGUAAAAUGCGUAGAUAUAUGGAGGAACAUCAGUAGCGAAGGCGGCUUACUGGCCUGUAACUGACGCUGAGGCUCGAAAGCGUGGGGAGCAAAUGGGAUUAGAUACCCCAGUAGUCCACGCCGUAAACGAAGAAUACUAGGUGUCGGAGUAGAACUUCAGUGCCGUAGUUAACGCAAUAAGUAUUCCGCCUGGGGAGUAUGCGCGCAAGCGUAAAACUCAAAGGAAUUGACGGGGACCCGCACAAGCGGUGGAGUAUGUGGUUUAAUUCGAUGCAACGCGAAGAACCUUACCUGGUCUUGACAUAUAUUUAAAAAGCUUAGAGAUAAGUAAUAGUUAUAGAUAUACAGGUGGUGCGUGGUUGUCGUCAGCUCGUGUCGUGAGAUGUUGGGUUAAGUCCCGCAACGAGCGCAACCCUCGCCUUUAGUUGCCAGCAUUAAGUUGGGCACUCUAGAGGGACUGCCAGGGAUAACCUGGAGGAAGGUGGGGAGGACGUCAAAUCAUCAUGCCCCCUAUGCUUAGGGCUACACACGUGCUACAAUGGGUGGUACAGAGGGCAGCCAAGUUGUGAGGCCGAGCUAGUCCCUUAAAGCCAUUCUCAGUUCGGAUUGUAGGCUGAAACUCGCCUACAUGAAGCUGGAGUUACUAGUAAUCGCAGAUCAGAAUGCUGCGGUGAAAAAGUUCCCGGGUCUUGCACACACCGCC